GAUGAACGCUGGCGGCGUGCCUAAUACAUGUAAGUCGUACGGAAAGGCCCUUCGGGGUACUCGAGUGGCGGACGGCUGAGUAACGCGUGGGAACGUGCCCCAAAGUGAGGGGUAACGCACCGAAAGGUGUGCUAAUACCGCAUAUGGUCUUCGGAUUAAAGCUUCGGCGCUUUGGGAGCGGCCCGCGUACGAUUAGAUAGUUGGUGAGGUAAUGGCUCACCAAGUCGACGAUCGUUAGCUGGUCUGAGAGGAUGAUCAGCCAGACUGGGACUGAGACACGGCCCAGACUCCUACGGGAGGCAGCAGUAAGGAAUUUUCCACAAUGGGGGCAACCCUGAUGGAGCAACGCCGCGUGCAGGAUGAAGGUUUUCGGAUCGUAAACUGCUUUUAUAAGUGAAGAAUAUGACGGUAACUUAUGAAUAAGGAUCGGCUAACUACGUGCCAGCCGCCGCCGUAA
RNAcentral lists this ribosomal RNA (457 nucleotides) under uncultured bacterium. RNAcentral describes it as "partial 16S ribosomal RNA". It matches the Rfam family "Bacterial small subunit ribosomal RNA", at positions 28 to 523 of the family's 1533-position model. The record is from RNAcentral.